AUUGAACGCUGGCGGCAUGCCUUACACAUGCAAGUCGAACGGUAACAGGUCUUCGGAUGCUGACGAGUGGCGAACGGGUGAGUAAUACAUCGGAACGUGCCCGAUCGUGGGGGAUAACGGAGCGAAAGCUUUGCUAAUACCGCAUACGAUCUACAGAUGAAAUCCGGGGACCGCAAGGCCUUGCGCGGACGGAGCGGCCGAUGGCAGAUUAGGUAGUUGGUGGGAUAAAAGCUUACCAAGCCGACGAUCUGUAGCUGGUCUGAGAGGACGACCAGCCACACUGGGACUGAGACACGGCCCAGACUCCUACGGGAGGCAGCAGUGGGGAAUUUUGGACAAUGGGCGAAAGCCUGAUCCAGCCAUGCCGCGUGCAGGAUGAAGGCCUUCGGGUUGUAAACUGCUUUUGUACGGAACGAAAAGACUCUUUCUAAUAAAGAGGGUCCAUGACGGUACCGGAAGAAUAAGCACCGGCUAACUACGUG
RNAcentral lists this ribosomal RNA (482 nucleotides) under uncultured bacterium. RNAcentral's name for it is "partial 16S ribosomal RNA". It matches the Rfam family "Bacterial small subunit ribosomal RNA", at positions 30 to 507 of the family's 1533-position model. The record is from RNAcentral.